RNAcentral lists this ribosomal RNA (404 nucleotides) under uncultured Desulfobacteraceae bacterium. RNAcentral's name for it is "bacterial SSU rRNA". It matches the Rfam family "Bacterial small subunit ribosomal RNA", at positions 392 to 787 of the family's 1533-position model. The record is from RNAcentral. Lineage: Bacteria; Pseudomonadati; Thermodesulfobacteriota; Desulfobacteria; Desulfobacterales; Desulfobacteraceae.
GCACGCCGCGUGAGUGAUGAAGGCUUUCGGGUCGUAAAGCUCUGUCAAGUGGGAAGAACCCACAUGGUGUUAAUACCACCUUGUGCUGACGGUACCACUGAAGGAAGCACCGGCUAACUCCGUGCCAGCAGCCGCGGUAAUACGGGGGGUGCAAGCGUUAUUCGGAAUUACUGGGCGUAAAGAGCGCGUAGGCGGUCUCUUAAGUCAGGUGUGAAAGCCCGGGGCUCAACCCCGGAAGUGCACUUGAAACUAAGGGACUUGAGUAUGGGAGAGGGAAGUGGAAUUCCUGGUGUAGCGGUGAAAUGCGUAGAUAUCAGGAGGAACAUCGGUGGCGAAGGCGACUUCCUGGACCAAUACUGACGCUGAGGCGCGAAGGCGUGGGGAGCAAACAGGAUUAGAUACCC